RNAcentral lists this ribosomal RNA (253 nucleotides) under uncultured bacterium. RNAcentral's name for it is "partial 16S ribosomal RNA". It matches the Rfam family "Bacterial small subunit ribosomal RNA", at positions 524 to 776 of the family's 1533-position model. The record is from RNAcentral.
UACGGGGGGAGCAAGCGUUGUUCGGAUUUAUUGGGCGUAAAGAGUUCGUAGGCGGUCCGUUAAGUCUGAUGUUAAAGAUCGGGGCUCAACCCUGGGAGUGCAUUGGAUACUGGCGGACUGGAGUGCGGUAGAGGCUAGUGGAAUUCCCAGUGUAGCGGUGAAAUGCGUAGAUAUUGGGAAGAACACCGGUGGCGAAGGCGGCCCCCUGGUUGGAUACUGACGCUGAGACGCGAAAGCGUGGGGAGCAAACAGG